This is a long non-coding RNA of Fundulus heteroclitus (mummichog), 146 nucleotides long. RefSeq lists it as uncharacterized. NCBI's taxonomy places the organism in Eukaryota, Metazoa, Chordata, Actinopteri, Cyprinodontiformes, Fundulidae. The transcript is spliced from 2 exons. The record is from RefSeq and is a predicted model, not a curated record.
UCCACACGUCCCGAUCCGCAAACGUCUGACCAUCAAGGGUGCAGCUGGCACCUGUGCCUGGCGAGGGCGACAGAAAGAGAAAAAACAGAGAUCUCAGCAGCCAUCCAGCCAUGAAGACAAAAUCCAUCCUUUUUUUUUUUUUUUUU